RNAcentral lists this ribosomal RNA (575 nucleotides) under uncultured bacterium. RNAcentral describes it as "partial 16S ribosomal RNA". It matches the Rfam family "Bacterial small subunit ribosomal RNA", at positions 355 to 920 of the family's 1533-position model. The record is from RNAcentral.
UGGGGAAUUUUGGACAAUGGGCGCAAGCCUGAUCCAGCAAUGCCGCGUGCAGGAUGAAGGCCUUCGGGUUGUAAACUGCUUUUGUACGGAACGAAAAGCCUCUCUCUAAUACAGGGGGUGAUGACGGUACCGUAAGAAUAAGCACCGGCUAACUACGUGCCAGCAGCCGCGGUAAUACGUAGGGUGCAAGCGUUAAUCGGAAUUACUGGGCGUAAAGCGUGCGCAGGCGGUUUUGUAAGACAGUGGUGAAAUCCCCGGGCUCAACCUGGGAACUGCCAUUGUGACUGCAAGGCUGGAGUGCGGCAGAGGGGGAUGGAAUUCCGCGUGUAGCAGUGAAAUGCGUAGAUAUGCGGAGGAACACCGAUGGCGAAGGCAAUCCCCUGGGCCUGCACUGACGCUCAUGCACGAAAGCGUGGGGAGCAAAACAGGAUUAGAUACCCCUGGUAGUCCACGCCCUAAACGAUGUCAACUGGUUGUUGGGGAUUUAUUUCUUCAGUAACGAAGCUAACGCGUGAAGUUGACCGCCUGGGGGAGUACGGCCGCAAGGUUAAAACUUAAAAGGAAUUGACGGGGUC